Molecule: ribosomal RNA, 440 nt
Filed under: uncultured bacterium
Lineage: Bacteria
Description: partial 16S ribosomal RNA
Rfam family: Bacterial small subunit ribosomal RNA
Source: RNAcentral
CCUACGGGCGGCAGCAGUGGGGAAUAGUGCACAAUGGGGGAAACCCUGAUGCAGCGACGCCGCGUGAGUGAAGAAGGAUUUCGGUAUGUAAAGCUCUAUCAGCAGGGAAGAAAAUGACGGUACCUGAGGAAGAAGCCACGGCUAACUACGUGCCAGCAGCCGCGGUAAUACGUCGGGGGCAAGCGUUAUCCGGAUUUACUGGGUGUAAAGGGAGCGUAGACGGGAGCACAAGUCUGGAGUGAACUGCCGGGGCUUAACCCCGGAACUGCUUUGGAAACUGUGCAGCUAGAGUGCAGGAGAGGUAAGUGGAAUUCCUUGUGUAGCGGUGACAUGCGUCGCUAUUAGGAGGAACCCCAGUGGCGCCGGCGGCUUACUGGACUGUAACUGACGUUGAGGCUCGAAAGCGUGGGGAGCAAACAGGAUUAGAUACCCCUGUAGUC